Molecule: long non-coding RNA, 860 nt
Filed under: Pavo cristatus (Indian peafowl)
Lineage: Eukaryota; Metazoa; Chordata; Aves; Galliformes; Phasianidae
Description: lncRNA (ENSPSTG00000006854.1)
Source: RNAcentral
UUUGAGUUUCCAGAAUGUCUAUGCUGUAACUGCUUUACUUUGUUUCUUUUUUUGUCCCACCAGUAGUGAUGUCGCUUGGAGAUUUGAUUGUCAACAUCACAAAAACAGCACCAUGAAAAGCCACGAGAUACUGCAUAACGCCCAGAAUGACUGAAAGUUGGAGGACUUCUUUUCAGGAGAUACAUUUUUCACUGUUUAUCAGCCUCUGCUUUUAUGGAUCACUGGGAAUAUAAGGACAGGUUCAGCUCCCAUCAUCCUUCUCCGUUUAGCUGACGUAAUUUACAGUUGGGUGCACCAUGACCGGGUGGAGCACUAGCCUUGCUUUGGGAUGGAAGACUGAGAUAGUCUUGAGAAAUGAGCAGAUGAAGACAUUUUUGUGCAGAAAACCUACACACGGGUUGGGCUGUAGUGGUGACAUGCUGCGAAUGUGUGAAACAGCGAGCAUCUCCCAGCGUUGGCAUGCAGCACAUCAGAGAUCUGCCUGAGAGCUCACAAAGACUGCCACGCAUCGUCCCGGGUAGGGAACUACAACACGUAACUUCAUAAUGGGAGCCAUUGUGUUUCUGGCACUGGCAAAAUGAAGGCAAUAAAAUGUAAUUUAAAAAAACAAAACCAUGAGGAUGAAUCCUGGGUGUUUGUGAGAAUUUUGUAACUGAACUCCUUGUUUUUACUUGCUCAGCAAUUAAGCUUCUGCGCUGCUAAAAUAGGAAUGUUAAUAUUUUGGAAAUGCUAAAUCAGCACCAUCGCAGCUGUUCUGAAGGAUGUGUUUGGAAAGGUACCGAGCGACAUAACCGAGCCCUGUGCUGUUACAAUCGGGAAUGGCUUGUAAGGAUCCUCUGGAACCUUUUGGCAUAUCUGCC